UACGGGGGGGGCAAGCGUUGUUCGGAAUUACUGGGCGUAAAGGGCUCGUAGGCGGCCAACUAAGUCAGACGUGAAAUCCCCAGGCUCAACCUGGGAACUGCGUCUGAUACUGGAUGGCUUGAGUUCGGGAGAGGGAUGCGGAAUUCCAGGUGUAGCGGUGAAAUGCGUAGAUAUCUGGAGGAACACCGGUGGCGAAGGCGGCAUCCUGGACCGGCACUGACACUGAGGAGCGAAAGCCAGGGGAGCAAACGGG
Molecule: ribosomal RNA, 253 nt
Filed under: uncultured bacterium
Lineage: Bacteria
Description: partial 16S ribosomal RNA
Rfam family: Bacterial small subunit ribosomal RNA
Source: RNAcentral